This 783-nucleotide long non-coding RNA is filed under the name Olea europaea (common olive). Its description in RNAcentral is "long non-coding RNA (OEUR_LNC009685)". Lineage: Eukaryota; Viridiplantae; Streptophyta; Magnoliopsida; Lamiales; Oleaceae. The record is from RNAcentral.
AAAAAAAAAAAAAAAAGGUGUCAACUUUUCACGUGGUGCUGUGCAUAUGUGUAUAAUGUAUAUUGUAUUCAUUAUAAAUUAAAAACCUAUGAAAGAACCAAAUCCAAACCACACGCAGUUGGGUCCGUUUAAUAGAAAUAAAUUGUUCUAAAUUUUUCCUCCUGGUUUUCUCUACCGUCCGUUUCCACCAACCACCAAAUUCUUAAUUUUUCUCGUUUUUGCUGGAAGUCUACCUUUUAAAAAUAAAUAAAUGCAUUAAUGUUUUCACGUGUGCAUUCAUUGUAUAAACAUAUGAAAAUAAAUCAAAACCCAAGUCGCAAAAACACCCUAUUGUAGACAAAACUGAUUUCCUACUAUAAUGGAUUUUAGAUUUGAUUUUGGUUGUGGCAAGAUCUAAAAAUGACCAUGUGUUGCUUGUAUAUAUAAUUGUUCCAUGGAUGCGUAUCUUCUUAUUGCUGUGAAACAUUGUUGGUUUAAAUGUGCAAAUUGUAAUCGGAACCGUCGUCGGCGUUGGCGGAUCAAGGAAACAGCAAAAUUGCUAUUUUUGCGACGAUGACGACAAUCCUUUUGAUGCUGUUUCACAGCUUGGGGUGGAGGAAUGUGUCGUUGUCCUAGCGGUGAUUUCCAACGGCUACAGAAACGGGGAUGGAGAUGGGAGCUCCAAUUGCAAUUAGUCAAGUUUUGAGUCCUCAGUUGCAAUUAUCAUUUAAGGGCUUGUCUGCAAUUAGAGAUCGGGGUCAUAUUUUAAUUUUUAAUAUAAGGACCUGCCAUGCAAUUUUGAAU